This 292-nucleotide ribosomal RNA is filed under the name uncultured bacterium. Its description in RNAcentral is "partial 16S ribosomal RNA". It matches the Rfam family "Bacterial small subunit ribosomal RNA", at positions 505 to 796 of the family's 1533-position model. The record is from RNAcentral.
GUGUCAGCCGCCGCGGUAAUACGGAGGGUGCGAGCGUUAAUCGGAAUUACUGGGCGUAAAGCGCGCGUAGGCGGCCAACGAAGUCGGUUGUGAAAGCCCCGGGCUCAACCUGGGAAUGGCAGUCGAUACUGGUUGGCUGGAGUAUGGGAGAGGACAGUGGAAUUCCAGGUGUAGCGGUGAAAUGCGUAGAGAUCUGGAGGAACAUCAGUGGCGAAGGCGACUGUCUGGCCUGAUACUGACGCUGAGGUGCGAAAGCGUGGGGAGCAAACAGGAUUAGAUACCCUCGUAGUCC